This is a non-coding RNA of Podarcis muralis (Common wall lizard), 1098 nucleotides long. NCBI's taxonomy places the organism in Eukaryota, Metazoa, Chordata, Lepidosauria, Squamata, Lacertidae. The record is from RefSeq and is a predicted model, not a curated record.
ACACUGGGAAGAAUGGGGCGGGGGAAGGGCAGGUGUAAUAAAAUAAAAUAGUGUGCAUUAAAUCGGGGUGGGCAAGGCUCCUCAACAGACUAGCUCACUCACCACCAUGCCGCUCAUCCUCCUGCUACCCCCCAAAACACACACACACACAGACCCACAAUCACCCCACAGAGGGGAAAAAGGGGGCAAGUUAAAUAUGCAGACAAUGGCCGAGGCGAAAGAGAGAUGGCAGCUCCGGAGAAGCGGCACCAGGAGGGAGCUGGAAGAAGAGGCGGGGAGGCAAGGAGCCCUCCUCCCCACCCACCCCAGCCCCAGCCUCCUCCUUGGUUUGCCGCCUGCCUCAUUCGGCAAAGGGCUGGCGGCGGCAGCGUGAAACAGGCUUCCUCCCUGUCUAGAGAAAGAGCUGCCACAGCCACCACCGCUGCUGCUUCUUCUCAUGAAGUGGGUAGGCAGAGUGACCUCGUCCGCUCCGCUCUGUGGCCCAUAGGAGCACCAAGGCAGCGGCAGCAGCAGGAGGAAGAUUAUUAUUAUUACUACAAUUAUUUCCCCAAUGGCCUGACUUGGAGGGAGAACAAGAGGAGAAAAGCUUGUGGGAAAGCAGAGAGAAAGAGGGGGAAGGGGAUUUUUGUCCUUCUACCAUCUAACUCUGUGUGCACGCUCAGCUUCUGGGGGCACAAAACAAUAUGAAUACUAAUAAUAUUAAUAUUAAUGAUAUCAGGGUAAUUAAGCAAGCAAAGGCAGCCCGGCCCGCUACCCGAAACAAGGAGUAGAGGGCAUGUGAAGGAGGCGAGCGGUGCCGCCCAGACCUGCACCUUUUAUUGGCGUUGGAGCCGCCCAUCAUGAAGCAGGGCUGCCGGAAGCCAGCUUAACUGCCCGGACGGAGCUUCCAAGGUGACAGGAGGAAGAGACCGAGCGGCGGCGGCUCUGGCAAUCUGGUUUACCUCAGCGCAGCGCGGGGACGUCUCUGCCAAUCAAACGUCACUGAGGUAAACCAGGUUCACCGCUGGACUUCGCUCUUGGUCUUGGUUAGAACUCAGGACAAGGACACUCUGCAUAUUACAUUAAGGACAACAGUUAGAAAUUUCCUUUUAUUUAACA